This is a long non-coding RNA of Emys orbicularis (European pond turtle), 150 nucleotides long. RefSeq lists it as uncharacterized. Lineage: Eukaryota; Metazoa; Chordata; Testudines; Emydidae. The transcript is spliced from 3 exons. The record is from RefSeq and is a predicted model, not a curated record.
UAGAGAGCCGCCGAGCCAGCGCCGGGCCCGGGCCGCAGCCAUCCCGGGCCGGACUCCGAGCACUUUACAUACAUGAGAGAAUUGGAAGCUAAAGCUACCAAAGAAGUUGAAAGAAAACUAAGCAGGGAUUUAGUGCAAGAAGAGGAAGAA